RNAcentral lists this ribosomal RNA (403 nucleotides) under uncultured bacterium. RNAcentral describes it as "bacterial SSU rRNA". It matches the Rfam family "Bacterial small subunit ribosomal RNA", at positions 358 to 771 of the family's 1533-position model. The record is from RNAcentral.
GGAAUAUUGCACAAUGGGCGCAAGCCUGAUGCAGCGACGCCGCGUGGGGGAUGAAGGCCUUCUGGUUGUAAACUCCUUUCACCCAUGACGACGCAUUUUGUGACGGUAGUGGUAGAAGAAGCACCGGCUAACUACGUGCCAUCAGCCGCGGUAAUACGUAGGGUGCGAUCGUUGUCCGGAAUUACUGGGCGUAAAGAGCUCGUAGGUGGUUUGUCGCGUCGUCUGUGAAAUUCCGGGGCUUAACUCCGGGCGUGCAGGCGAUACGGGCAUAACUUGAGUGCUGUAGGGGAGACUGGAAUUCCUGGUGUAGCGGUGAAAUGCGCAGAUAUCAGGAGGAACACCGAUGGCGAAGGCAGGUCUCUGGGCAGUAACUGACGCUGAGGAGCGAAAGCAUGGGUAGCGA